CCAAUAGCGUAUAUUAAAGUUGCUGCAGUUAAAAAGCUCGUAGUUGAAUUUCGGGACCAAUAUGUCGGUCGUGCUUCGGUACGUACUGUCAUUAUUGGUUUCUCCCUUCUGAAGAACCUUGAUGUCAUUAAUUUGGUGUCUUGGGGAAUCAGGACUGUUACUUUGAAAAAAUUAGAGUGUUUAAAGCAGGCUCGCGCUUGAAUACAUUAGCAUGGAAUAA
This 220-nucleotide ribosomal RNA is filed under the name uncultured Glomus. RNAcentral's name for it is "partial small subunit ribosomal RNA". It matches the Rfam family "Eukaryotic small subunit ribosomal RNA", at positions 591 to 817 of the family's 1831-position model. Lineage: Eukaryota; Fungi; Glomeromycota; Glomeromycetes; Glomerales; Glomeraceae. The record is from RNAcentral.